RNAcentral lists this ribosomal RNA (405 nucleotides) under uncultured bacterium. RNAcentral's name for it is "partial 16S ribosomal RNA". It matches the Rfam family "Bacterial small subunit ribosomal RNA", at positions 30 to 526 of the family's 1533-position model. The record is from RNAcentral.
AUUGAACGCUAGCGGGAGGCUUUACACAUGCAAGUCGAACGCGUGGCGGACGGGUGAGUAAUAUAUCGGAACCUGCCCAGUAGAGGGGGAUAACUACUCGAAAGUGUGGCUAAUACCGCAUCCAAUCGGAGCGGCCGAUAUCGGGGUGACUAGGUGGGGGGGUAAAGGCUCACCAAGGCAACGAUCCGUAUGUGGUUUGAGAGGUGGACCAGCCACACUGGGACUGAAACACGGCCCAGACGCCGACGGGAGGCAGCAGUGGUGAAUGUUGCACAAUGGGGGAAACCCUGAUCCAGCCAUCCCGCGUGUAUGAGAAGGCCUUCGGGUUGUAAAGUACUUUUGGCGGAGAAGCGGUAACGGCAGAAUAAGCACCGGCUAACUCCGUGCCAGCAGCCGCGGUAAUUC